Molecule: ribosomal RNA, 484 nt
Filed under: uncultured bacterium
Lineage: Bacteria
Description: partial 16S ribosomal RNA
Rfam family: Bacterial small subunit ribosomal RNA
Source: RNAcentral
AUUGAACGCUGGCGGCAUGCUUUACACAUGCAAGUCGAACGGCAGCGCGGGCUUCGGCCUGGCGGCGAGUGGCGAACGGGUGAGUAAUGCAUCGGAACGUGCCCAGUAGUGGGGGAUAGCCCGGCGAAAGCCGGAUUAAUACCGCAUACGACCUGAGGGUGAAAGCGGGGGACCGAAAGGCCUCGCGCUAUUGGAGCGGCCGAUGUCGGAUUAGCUAGUUGGUGGGGUAAAGGCUUACCAAGGCGACGAUCCGUAGCUGGUCUGAGAGGACGACCAGCCACACUGGAACUGAGACACGGCCCAGACUCCUACGGGAGGCAGCAGUGGGGAAUUUUGGACAAUGGGGGCAAGCCUGAUCCAGCCAUGCCGCGUGCGGGAAGAAGGCCUUCGGGUUGUAAACCGCUUUUGUUCGGGAAGAAAUCCUCUGGGCUAAUACCCCGGGGGGAUGACGGUACCGGAAGAAUAAGCACCGGCUAACUACGUG